GAUGAACGCUGGCGGCGUGCCUAAUACAUGCAAGUCGAACGCUGGAAAUCUAGCUUGCUAGAUUGAAGGAGUGGCGAAAGGGUGAGUAAUACAUAAGCAACCUACCCACGAAGACUGGGAUAAUCUCUGGAAACGGGGACUAAUACCGGAUAGGUAAUCGGAAGGCAUCUUCUGAUUAUUAAAGGUUAAAAACACUGGUGGAUGGGCUUAUGGCGCAUUAGUUAGUUGGUGAGGUAACGGCCCACCAAGACGAUGAUGCGUAGCCGGCCUGAGAGGGUGAACGGCGACAUGGGGACGGGGACACGACCCAGACUGCUACGGGAGGCAGCAGUAGGGAAGUUUGGGCAGUGGGGGAAACCCUGACCGGGCAACGCCGCGUGAGUGAUGACGGCCUUCGGGUUGUAAAGCUCUGUUGUAAGGGAAGAACGGUAGAUAGAGAAUAUCUAAAUGACGGUACCUUACCAGAAAGCCACGGCUAACUACGUG
RNAcentral lists this ribosomal RNA (486 nucleotides) under uncultured bacterium. RNAcentral's name for it is "partial 16S ribosomal RNA". It matches the Rfam family "Bacterial small subunit ribosomal RNA", at positions 28 to 507 of the family's 1533-position model. The record is from RNAcentral.